GGAUUGCAGGCUGCAACUCGCCUGCAUGAAGCUGGAAUUGCUAGUAAUCGCGGAUCAGCAUGCCGCGGUGAAUACGUUCCCGGGCCUUGUACACACCGCCCGUCACACCAUGAGAGUCGGGAACACCCGAAGUCCGUAGUCUAACCGCAAGGAGGGCGCGGCCGAAGGUGGGUCCGGUAAUUGGGGUGAAGUCGUAACAAGGUAUC
RNAcentral lists this ribosomal RNA (206 nucleotides) under uncultured bacterium. RNAcentral's name for it is "partial 16S ribosomal RNA". It matches the Rfam family "Bacterial small subunit ribosomal RNA", at positions 1295 to 1500 of the family's 1533-position model. The record is from RNAcentral.